Molecule: ribosomal RNA, 253 nt
Filed under: uncultured bacterium
Lineage: Bacteria
Description: partial 16S ribosomal RNA
Rfam family: Bacterial small subunit ribosomal RNA
Source: RNAcentral
UACGUAGGGGGCAAGCGUUGUUCGGAUUCAUUGGGCGUAAAGGGUGCGUAGGCGGCCUGCUAAGUCGGACGUGAAAUCCCUCGGCUCAACCGGGGAACUGCGUCCGAUACUGGUGGGCUUGAAUCCGGGAGAGGGAUGUGGAAUUCCAGGUGUAGCGGUGAAAUGCGUAGAUAUCUGGAGGAACACCGGUGGCGAAGGCGGCAUCCUGGACCGGUAUUGACGCUGAUGCGCGAAAGCCAGGGGAGCAAACGGG